Long non-coding RNA from Oncorhynchus tshawytscha (Chinook salmon), 1357 nucleotides. Lineage: Eukaryota; Metazoa; Chordata; Actinopteri; Salmoniformes; Salmonidae. The record is from Ensembl.
UAACACUGACCCUGUACAUAGCUGACAUUCUCAACAACAACAAAAAUUCUGUCUCAUAUUUCUUAUUUCUCUUCUUUUUAAAAAUAAAAAAAAUGAUAUUAAAUAUUGCAUUGUUGGGAAGGGCUAGCAAUUUAACCAUUUCACUGUACUUGUGCAUGUGACAAAGAAAACUUGAAACUUGAAAUGUACAGUCAGUGUGUUAUAUAUGUGUUAUAUAAAUAUGGGCAGGGUUGGCUAUUAUCCACUCAUUAGCCAUACAGUAGCCCAACCUUGAAUGAGAGACCAGCUAAGUCGGUAAUGCUUUACAGCUAUUUGCAGUUGAUUGCGUUUAAUACACUGCUUUUAUUACUUACUAUAGUCAUUUUUUAUUUAACAUCUUGAGAUGGGAAAACGUGUUUAUUCUGAAGUUGAACAUGUUUUUUAUGACCUAAUGUUAAACUUAGGUAAAAUCACAAGUUUUCUUUUGACACUUCUCAAACGUGAAGAUCUAAUAAACUUUUCAGCGACAUACAUAUGCUAUUUUAAACAAACACAUUCAGUGUUUUACGAUUUUAGAUGGAAAAUGUGAAAUAUGAUAAAUUGACUUUCACAAUAUCAAAAAAGAAGCAUUAAUAAAUAUGGGACUGGUACCAAUCUUAUUUGUGCAAUGUGGCUCAGGCUACGGCAACGUUUCUGUAACAAUUAUUCUAAAUAAAACUCGUCCAAGGCAUCUAAGUUAAUUAGCAAAAGAGCAAAAAGUCUAGUUAUAUGUUUGAAAAAUGUCGCCUACUAUUCUAUUCAUUUGCUAAAGUAACGUGUGAGAAAGAAGUGUUUUGCCACGCCUUCUGUCCUUCCCACAUAUAACGAAUAUAAUAUAUAUAUCAAACUGACACAGUGCUGUAAAUGUAGACAGUAAGAAAAGUGCUCUGAUGAUAGUGACUGAUCACACAUGGUUGCUACAAGGCCCCUUGUCUGUUAGGAGGACCAGGCUGCAGAGGAAAAUAUUCACUAGGUGGUAAAGAAGCUGGCUGCGGAUGACACUGAACUUGGCCUAAAGCGAGCUCUGCUGGUGGCUCCGGGAGGAUGCAGAUUUAUCUUUCUGCUAUGGCUGACCUCGCGGUGAACCGCGCGCUGGGGACGGUUCUUUUUUUCUGCCUGGCAUUGUCUGCCUUGCUGUGCAACGCAUAAGGGACCCCAAUUUGGACAUUUUAAUUGUGUAACAAUGGUGUAAAUUUCUCCCCAGACGUCACAAUGAUAAUGGCAUAGAAUAAUGGUUUUACUUAUAUUUUCUACACCACAAACUGUAAUGGAAAUAAAGUUACAUUUCGUUGCAUUGGCUAUCUGUUUACACGACUUAGUGAUAUAUGUCAACUAUUAG